Molecule: ribosomal RNA, 253 nt
Filed under: uncultured bacterium
Lineage: Bacteria
Description: partial 16S ribosomal RNA
Rfam family: Bacterial small subunit ribosomal RNA
Source: RNAcentral
UACGAAGGGUGCAAGCGUUAUCCGGAUUCACUGGGGUUAAAGGGUGCGUAGGUGGGCUAGUAAGUCCGUGGUGAAAUCUCUGAGCUUAACUCGGAAACUGCCGUGGAUACUAUUAGUCUUGAAUGUUGUGGAGGUAAGCGGAAUAUGUCAUGUAGCGGUGAAAUGCUUAGAUAUGACAUAGAACACCGAUAGCGAAGGCAGCUUGCUACACAAUUAUUGACACUGAGGCACGAAAGCGUGGGGAUCAAACAGG